This is a small nucleolar RNA of 95 nucleotides. Its record names the gene U3. It matches the Rfam family "Small nucleolar RNA U3". From Rfam's summary of the family: Small nucleolar RNAs (snoRNAs) are involved in the processing and modification of rRNA in the nucleolus. There are two main classes of snoRNAs: the box C/D class, and the box H/ACA class. U3 snoRNA is a member of the box C/D class. The record is from Ensembl.
AAGACUAUACUUUCAGGGAUCAUUUCUAUGAUUUGUUACUAGAGAAGUUUCUCUGAAUGCAUAGAGCACCUGCAACCAUGAGGAGGAGAUGUAGG